UACGUAGGGUGCGAGCGUUAAUCGGAAUUACUGGGCGUAAAGCGCACGUAGGCGGAUUUGUAAGUCAGGGGUGAAAUCCCGGGGCUCAACCUCGGAACUGCCUUUGAUACUGCAAAUCUCGAGUCCGGAAGAGGUGAGUGGAAUUCCUAGUGUAGAGGUGAAAUUCGUAGAUAUUAGCUAGAACACCAGUGGCGAAGGCGACUUACUGGACACAUAUUGACGCUGAGGUGCGAAAGCGUGGGGAGCAAACAGG
Molecule: ribosomal RNA, 253 nt
Filed under: uncultured bacterium
Lineage: Bacteria
Description: partial 16S ribosomal RNA
Rfam family: Bacterial small subunit ribosomal RNA
Source: RNAcentral